Molecule: non-coding RNA, 28 nt
Filed under: Mus musculus (house mouse)
Lineage: Eukaryota; Metazoa; Chordata; Mammalia; Rodentia; Muridae
Source: RNAcentral
UCCUAUCAAGGUUCCAGAAAUACAAGCC